CAAAUACGUGGAUUUGUAUGCAUUGUGAUCAUCCGAAUUUUUGAGCAUUUAUUUACUGAUUCUAGAUGAAAUUAUAUAUGUUGAACUGGGAUUUGACAUAGGAGAAAACUCGUUAAACCUACACUGUUAUUUUUCAGAAAAAUUACCAGUUUUGGCUUCAGGAGCUGCUGUAUUUCUGUAUCACAGCUGUUAGUGCGUAGUGGAUACUCAACAUAGGGUAGGCUGAUAUUACGUUCGUGCUGAGGGGCCGAGCUUGUUGUACAGUAGCGUUUGGACUGUCGGGUGCCGUUGGGGUUGACGGUAGAUCCAGAUUUCUGUAUCACCGCUGUUAGUGCGAGGUGGAUACUCAGAUGAGUGUAGGUUGAGUUUACGCUCGCGCUGAGGAGCCGAGUGUGUUGUUACAGUAGAGUUAGACUGUGUUAGACCGUCGGUUGCCGUCGGGGUUGACGAUGGA
RNAcentral lists this long non-coding RNA (454 nucleotides) under Ananas comosus (pineapple). Its description in RNAcentral is "long non-coding RNA (ACOM_LNC003323)". Lineage: Eukaryota; Viridiplantae; Streptophyta; Magnoliopsida; Poales; Bromeliaceae. The record is from RNAcentral.